Molecule: small nucleolar RNA, 133 nt
Organism: Equus asinus (donkey)
Lineage: Eukaryota; Metazoa; Chordata; Mammalia; Perissodactyla; Equidae
Source: Ensembl
UCCCCUUGGAAUGGGCAAAGAGACACCUGAUUGGUGGUGUUGCUCUUAUAUCAGUCAGUUGUACAGUCCUUUGUUCAUCCUAGCUUGAUGACUGGGUUGGUGGCCAGAGCUGUUUCAUGCCUAGGGCACAUAA